RNAcentral lists this ribosomal RNA (358 nucleotides) under uncultured fungus. RNAcentral describes it as "eukaryotic LSU rRNA". The stretch from base 1 to 113 matches the Rfam family "5.8S ribosomal RNA", at positions 42 to 154 of the family's 154-position model. The record is from RNAcentral. Lineage: Eukaryota; Fungi.
AACGCAGCGAAGGGCGAUAAGUAAUGUGAAUUGCAGAAUUCAGUGAAUCAUCGAAUCUUUGAACGCACCUUGCGCUCCUUGGUAUUCCGAGGAGCAUGCCUGUUUGAGUGUCAUUUUAAACUCUCAAACCACGUCGUUCGUUCGAUGUGGCUUUGGAUGGUGGGGGUUUGCAGGCUUUUUCUUCUGAAGGCGUCUGCUCCCCCUGAAAUGCAUUAGUGGCGUCUGGAGUGGAAACCGCUAGGUGUGAUAAAAAAAUAUCAUCUAUGCCUUCCGCAUGAAACAGAUCGUGCUGCUUCAAACGCAAACAAUUGUUGACAAACUUGACCUCAAAUCAGGUAGGACUACCCGCUGAACUUAA